Molecule: non-coding RNA, 930 nt
Organism: Eimeria maxima
Lineage: Eukaryota; Apicomplexa; Conoidasida; Eucoccidiorida; Eimeriidae
Source: Rfam
UGUCGCCAUACAAACGUUUCAGACGAUGGAACGCGUUCAAUUGUAGAGACGGGUGCUGGUGAGUAACAGCCAAAUACACACAUUCGCGUUCAAUUGUAGAGACGGAUGCUGGUGAGUAACAGCUAAAUACACACAUUCAGGAGCUAUGGUAUUCCUUUAUAAAGGUUGCACACGUGCAUACAGGCGUAUGUAUGUAUGCAGCAUAUAUUGAGCAGGUGAAGUAGCUGUAAAGGUAACAGUGUGUGAACUAUGCCUGAGUAGGGUGAAGUCAGGCGAAAGCCUGAUGGAGGCUCGUAGCGAUACUGACGUGCAAAUCGUUCGUCAAACUUGGGUAUAGGGGCGAAAGACUAAUCGAACCGUCUAGUAGCUGGUUUCUUCCGAAGUCUCUCUCAGUAUAGCUGGAGUUCAAUUAGUUUUAUCAGGUAAAGCGAAUGAUUAGAGGCCUCGGGGACGCGUCGUCCUCGACCUAUUCUCAAACUUUAAAUGGGUAAGAUCCAGUGGUUACUUCACUGAACUGCUGGGAUUAAUAUGAACUCCAAGUGGGCCAUUUUUGGUAAGCAGAACUGGCGAUGAGGGAUACUCCUAACGCUUGGUUAGGGUGCCUAAAUACUCGCUCAUGAGACACCAUAAAAGGUGUUGGUUCAUUUUGACAGCAGGACGGUGGUCAUGGAAAUCGAAAUCGUUCCUCAAAAGUACGUUGUGGGGAAAUAAAAGAUUCAAUGAUUGGGAAUAUAUGAUUAUAACGAGCGUUUCCUCGCAGCAAACACCCCAACGAAUCACAACAAUAUGCAUCACGAAAGCAACAACGCUGUUGCUAAUGCGACGCAGUACCGCGUGACCGCGAAAGCAACUUUGAGACGCAAUGCGUGAAUAGAUAAUCGAACGUGUUUUGAAGUUUUCUGCCAUAUACGGAUCUAGAACACUGAAGAG